AAUAUCUUUCAAUAUUCUAGACCAAAGUGUCAUGUUGCUCUCAGGUGAUAAACACAAUGCAGUUUGCUUUCCAGAGUCCCCUUGACUAUGUUAAUGGGGACAUGUACACAAGACUCCAUUCAUUCUGGACAGCUUUUCUGAUCCUUGAGUGAUUGGUUCAACCUGAACCUUAGGAUUCUGUUGGUCCUUACUACCUAUCUGUACUAUCUACACAUACAAACUUAGCUUUCUGAAGAAAUCGAGGACAAUGAGCAUGAAAUCUCAAGUCUCCUCACUGAGAAUCUCGACCUCUGCCUCAGGACCACCUGUAUAUUGAGGGAGCUCUCUCUGUCUUCUCACCAAAGAGGAUUGGAGUAAGAGACUACUCUAGGGUCCUGAAUAAGCAAGGUGCCAUGGUGAACUGCCUAUGGAGACUACCACAUAGCAAGACUAAGGAGACCUCUGGGAGCCAAGGACCCUAGUUUUACAAAACAAAAACAAAAACAAAAACAAACAAACAAACAACAACAACAAAAAACCCAACUGAAUUUUGCCAACAAGUAUUUGGUGAUGUAAUAGGAUAUAGAACUGCUACAGUUUGAAUAUUUGUCCUGUUCAAAACUAAAGCAGAGAUUAAUUGUCACUGUAACAGCAUUAAAAAGUGGGACUUCAGGAGGUGAAUAGGAUAAGUUGAGGUCACAGGAUUGGUCCCCAUGAUUGUGUUAGUGGCUAUAUAAGAAGAGGAAAGGAUCCCUAGCAUGCCAUGUGAUGUUUUUUGCCAUGCUGUGAUACAACGUUCAUCAGAUGUCUGUGCAAAGGUCUUGGAUAUCCCAGCCACCAGAACUGUGAGCUAAAUAAUCUAUAUCUGUAUUAAAUUACUCAGUCUGUGAUAUUAAGUUAUUAGCAACAGAAAACAUACUAAGGACCUCAGAUGAAUUCAUAGUCCCAGCUGAAAUUUUAAUUGUAGCCUGUGGAACCCUAAGCAGAUGACUUAGCUAAGCCAUGUCCAGAUUUCCUGAUGCAUAAAAUAUAAAAUAAUAAAUAAAUUUGUGUUAUUUUA
Non-coding RNA from Ictidomys tridecemlineatus (thirteen-lined ground squirrel), 1039 nucleotides. NCBI's taxonomy places the organism in Eukaryota, Metazoa, Chordata, Mammalia, Rodentia, Sciuridae. The record is from RefSeq and is a predicted model, not a curated record.